ACGGGUGAGUAAUGCGUAGGAAUCUGUCUUGUAGAGAGGGACAACCUGGGGAAACCUGGGCUAAUACCACAUGACCUCGAAAGAGAAAAGCAGGGGACCUUCGGGCCUUGCGCUAUAAGGUGAGCCUACGUCGGAUUAGCUAGUUGGUAGGGUAAAGGCCUACCAAGGCGAUGAUCUGUAGCUGGUCUGAGAGGACGGACAGCCACACUGGGACUGAGACACGGCCCAGACUCCUACGGGAGGCAGCAGUGGGGAAUAUUGGACAAUGGGGGCAACCCUGAUCCAGCGAUGCCGCGUGUGUGAAGAAGGCCUUCGGGUUGUAAAGCACUUUCAGUUGGGAAGAGAGUUUGAUGGUGAAUAGUCAUCAAAUGAGACGUUACCAACAAAAGAAGCACCGGCUAACUCUGUGCCAGCAGCCGCGGUAAUACAGAGGGUGCGAGCGUUAAUCGGAGUGACUGGGCGUAAAGGGCAUGUAGGCGGCUAUAUUAGUCUGAUGUGAAAGACCUGGGCUUAACCUGGGAUACGCAUUGGAAACGGUAUGGCUAGAGUAUGGGAGAGGGAGGUGGAAUUUCCGGU
Molecule: ribosomal RNA, 576 nt
Filed under: uncultured bacterium
Lineage: Bacteria
Description: bacterial SSU rRNA
Rfam family: Bacterial small subunit ribosomal RNA
Source: RNAcentral